GAUGAACGCUAGCGAUAGGCUUAACACAUGCAAGUCGAGGGGCAGCAUGGUCUUAGCUUGCUAAGACUGAUGGCGACGGGCGCACGGGUGCGUAACGCGUAUGCAACUUGCCUCACAGAGGGGGAUAACCCGUCGAAAGACGGACUAAUACCGCGUACACUCUAUGUUGGGCAUCCAAUGUAGAGGAAAUGAAAUUCGCUGUGAGAUAGGCAUGCGUCCCAUUAGCUAGUUGGUGAGGUAACGGCUCACCAAGGCGACGAUGGGUAGGGGAACUGAGAGGUUGAACCCCCACACUGGUACUGAGACACGGACCAGACUCCUACGGGAGGCAGCAGUGAGGAAUAUUGGUCAAUGGGCGAGAGCCUGAACCAGCCAAGUCGCGUGAAGGAUGACUGUCUUAUGGAUUGUAAACUUCUUUUAUACGGGAAUAACAAGAGUCACGU
Molecule: ribosomal RNA, 443 nt
Filed under: Porphyromonas sp. oral taxon 279
Lineage: Bacteria; Pseudomonadati; Bacteroidota; Bacteroidia; Bacteroidales; Porphyromonadaceae
Description: bacterial SSU rRNA
Rfam family: Bacterial small subunit ribosomal RNA
Source: RNAcentral